ACGAACGCUGGCGGCGUGCCUAAUACAUGCAAGUUGAGCGCUGAAGGUUGGUACUUGUACCAACUGGAUGAGCAGCGAACGGGUGAGUAACGCGUGGGGAAUCUGCCUUUGAGCGGGGGACAACAUUUGGAAACGAAUGCUAAUACCGCAUAAAAACUUUAAACACUAGUUUUAAGUUUGAAAGAUGCAAUUGCAUCACUCAAAGAUGAUCCCGCGUUGUAUUAGCUAGUUGGUGAGGUAAAGGCUCACCAAGGCGAUGAUACAUAGCCGACCUGAGAGGGUGAUCGGCCACAUUGGGACUGAGACACGGCCCAAACUCCUACGGGAGGCAGCAGUAGGGAAUCUUCGGCAAUGGACGAAAGUCUGACCGAGCAACGCCGCGUGAGUGAAGAAGGUUUUCGGAUCGUAAAACUCUGUUGGUAGAGAAGAACGUUGGUGAGAGUGGAAAGCUCAUCAAGUGACGGUAACUACCCAGAAAGGGACGGCUAACUACGUG
Molecule: ribosomal RNA, 496 nt
Filed under: uncultured bacterium
Lineage: Bacteria
Description: partial 16S ribosomal RNA
Rfam family: Bacterial small subunit ribosomal RNA
Source: RNAcentral